GCCAAAAGUCCCAGGACAUGGCCUGGCCCCCUACCCCUCAAUGCUGUCCCUCUUCUGACACCCCAUGGAGUCACCCUAUGGACUCAGGACCAAUGGGGUUUUGGGGAGAAGACAGAUCGUCUGUCUACAGCCUUAUCUAGUUGAAUCUGAAGAUGUGGACCUGCUGAUGAAGAGGGCUGACUGUAUCUAACUUAGGGUCUUGCAUGCAGCUGGUACUUAACGCAUUUUAUUGACUGUUUUAGCUAACAUUCAACAGACAAUUCCUAAUAAAAAACUCUUAAAAGUAUGAAAAAAAAGGAAACCUGCUCUAAAGUGGCAGGAAAACCAGCCUGGGCAACAUAGCAAGAUCUUGUCUCUACAACAAAAGUUUUAAAAUUCACUGCCUGCCUGUAGUCCCAGCCACUCAGGAAGCUGAGGCAGGAGGAUCCCUUAAGCCCAGGAGUUUGAGGUUACAGUGAGGUAGAUCACACCAUUGCUCUCCAGUCUGGGUGACAACAAGGCCCUGAGAAAUAAAAAAAAAAGAAAGGAAAGGAAGGAAAGAGUGUAAGUAUUGAAAAGGAAGAGACAAAACUGUCAUUAUUUGCAUAUAAAAUAAUAAAUGUUAGCCAAAGAAGCCUAAGAGAAUCAACUAAGAUUUUACUGGAAGUAAUAUGAGAAUUCAGUACGGUGGCUAGAAACAAAAUCAAGAGAGCAGCACACAAACCUCAACUGCUUUUCAGAUGUACCACCAAUAACUAACUAGAAAAUGGAAGAAAGAUCCCAUUUACAAUGGCAAUACAAAUGUCUGAAGUAUUUAGGAACAAAAAUACAAAGAUCUGUUAUCUAACAAAAGAUGUGUAAGAUCUAUAUGAUGGAAACCCUAAAACUCUUCUGAAAGACAUUAACAAGAAAUGAAUUCAUGACAUGAGAUACCAUGUUCUAGAAUGUCGUACAGAUGUCAAUUCUCAAAUUUAUCUACAAAUUUAAGGUAAUCCUAUUCAAAUCCCAAGAUAGUUUUUGGUGGUGGCUGUUUUUGAGACAAGGUCUCGCUCUGUUGCCCAGGCUAGAGUGCAGUGGUAUGACCACAGCUCGCUGCAUCCUCGACCUCCCAGGCUCAAGCAAUCCUCCCACUUUAGCCUCUGAAGUCUCUCAUAUGGUGUCCAAGAAAUGGGGACAAAUCUCACAAAGGGACUAGGCUCAGGAGGGCUGGAAUAUUCAGGGAAGUUUCUUUCUUUCUUUCUUUCUUUUUUUUUUUUUUUUUUUUUGAGGCAGAGUCUCGCUCUGUCCCCCAGGCUGGAGUGCAGCAGCCUGAUCUUGGCUGGCUGCAUGCUCCACCUCCCAGGUUCACGCCAUUCUCCUGCUUCAGCCUCACAAGUAGCUGGGACGACACACGCCCGCCACCACACCCAGCUAAUUUUUUGCAUUUUUAGUAGAGACGGGGUUCCACUGUGUUAGCCAGGAUGGUCUCGAUCUCCUGACCUUGUGAUCCGCCUGCCUUGGCCUCCCAAAGUGCUGGGAUUACAGGCGUGAGCCACCGCACCUGGCCUAUUCAGGGAAGGUUUCAAGCAGAAAGAUGAACUGAGUUGGCUUUGGAGAGAUUCACAGGACUCCCACAGGCAGAGUGAAAUAAGGGCAUUGUAGAUGGACAAAGGCACAGAUAAGCAGCAAUGGGGACAGUGUGACUGGGGGACGCUGAGGGGCUGCUGUGGCUGGAAUGGAGGGUUGCCACCAUAAUGGAAAUGGCCAAUGAGGCAAAUAAGGUUGGAUUAGGAGCAUAGCAUCAAGGGUGCCAGCUUAUUAAAUCCCUCUUCCAGUAUGCUAGCACUGGCCUGCUGGGAAAAGUAAUACAUCACAUAAUCAAACAAAAGGCAAAAAGAGGCGAGCUCCAGGAAUGGGCACUGUAAACAGGACUCGCCCCAGGGUAGCCAGAUGCAGGCUUUAGAUUUGUUGAUGCAGGUUGAGCAUCUCUAAUCCGAGGGGGAAUGUCUCAUAUGGUGUCCAAGAAAUGGUGACACAUCUCACAGAGGGCCUAGGCUCAGGAGGGCUGGAGUAUGAGACAUUCCCCCUCCCCUGUGAAUUUGAAAACGUGGCCAAAAUUUUUUUUUAAAAAUGGCUACCCUGUAG
Molecule: long non-coding RNA, 2103 nt
Filed under: Pan troglodytes (chimpanzee)
Lineage: Eukaryota; Metazoa; Chordata; Mammalia; Primates; Hominidae
Description: long non-coding RNA NONPTRT006773
Source: RNAcentral